Molecule: long non-coding RNA, 234 nt
Organism: Rosa chinensis
Lineage: Eukaryota; Viridiplantae; Streptophyta; Magnoliopsida; Rosales; Rosaceae
Exons: 3
Source: RefSeq, a predicted model, not a curated record
UUAGAAUGUUUCAUAAUAAUCACUUUGAUUUGUGUUUUGUCUAGAAUCUCUUCUUUCUUGCUUCUGGGGCCUUCUUAUUUGCUGAUCUCGAAAUCUCAAACUGCAGAAUGUCUAUUUGAAAUUGCAGAAUGGUUGAAUCAUUCAUAGCAAAGUCAUUGAAAAGCUAUAUAUUUCUUGGUCUAAAGCAUUGUUCUUUUACAUGGAACUCCAGGGACUAGAAAAACCGCUUUAUGU